RNAcentral lists this transfer RNA (85 nucleotides) under Gemmobacter sp. RNAcentral describes it as "tRNA-Leu". It matches the Rfam family "tRNA". From Rfam's summary of the family: Transfer RNA (tRNA) molecules are approximately 80 nucleotides in length. Their secondary structure includes four short double-helical elements and three loops (D, anti-codon, and T loops). The record is from RNAcentral. Lineage: Bacteria; Pseudomonadati; Pseudomonadota; Alphaproteobacteria; Rhodobacterales; Paracoccaceae.
GCGGGCGUGGCGGAACUGGCAGACGCACCGGAUUUAGGUUCCGGCGCCGCAAGGUGUGGGGGUUCAAAUCCCUUCGCCCGCACCA